UGACAUGUCUCUGACAUCCCUGUCUCAGCACAGUAAUGCCCCAAAGCUUGAGACGUCGUUCUCAGCGCGCAGGCUUUACGGUACCAACCGUGCGGUAUCAUUGCUACAUGAAGAGUGCACUGCCCCAACCAUUGAAGCAUCACAAGGUGCUUGCCUGCCGCCGCCGCCGCUGAUACGUACACGAUUGCUGCCACACAACCAACACAUCACACCCAACAAUCACAACAACAAAACAACUGAGACCCGCCGCCGCGCAACGCACACUGUACACGCUCCAGGGCCGAGAACGCAACACACACACAAGCACCUGACAUGCCUCAUCCAGGCAUGCGUCACUCAAUCGCCCACCGAGCUGAUCUCGCACACGCCGUUCGUGAGCCCCUGCGGCUGACAUGCCCGACCCUGCCGCCUUGGCACCGCCGCCCAUUGCCCCACCCCCAUGCUGCGUGCCAUGUAAUAAUGAAGCCAGGUCCCCAUCAAGCCGCAGCAUAUAUCCCCGCCAAGCCACCACACUCCUCUUGCCGCACGCUACCAACCACCACCAGCACAGGACCGGCACCUGCCUGUCCCCCUGUUUAGUUUGGGCUGGUAUUUGCAAACCCCCCGCCCCACCCUCCCCAUUGCCAACGCCAGCCAACCUCGCCCACCGCGCCGAAAUACACGCCGGCACCUCGCUCGUGCCUCUCGAGGCCUCCCAUCUUCCGUAGCUAGAGAUCCCUGUCCACGAGUAUCCACUUGGGCUCCAGCCCACUCCUGAUGCACACGCCAGCAUUAUCCAGGUCUGCAUGGUUUGCAUACCUGCCUAUCUACCGUGCACGCACACCUGCCUAGCUACGCAGACCUACCGUCCUUUUCGACCCGCCGACCCGCCUCCGCCCGCCGCCUCCCUCUGGCCGCCGUGCCGGCCGCACCAGCAGCUGCUGUUGUGGGUUGCCGCCAGAGCCGCCGCCGCCCUUGUUGCUGUUGGUGGUGGUGGUUGCGGGCUGGUGUGGCGCGGCCGUAGUGACAGCCGCAGCGCCGCCCACGGCACCCGCUGUCACUGUUUCCACCGCCACCGCCGGCUGCUGCAGCCGGCGCAGCAGGUAGGCCUCCUGCUCGGAAGGAGUCAGGAAGUCCCAUUCCCAGUACGGCACUAGUAGGACGCCGCCCUCCUUAAACGCCCGCCGCAGCUGCCGAAUGCGAAUGGCCGUACCCCCUUCCACAGCAGCGCUGGGGUCUUGCUGCUGCGUUUGUGUCAAGAGGUAACGUUUCGGUCCGAGGAACUCCACCGCCGCCUGCUGCCCGUCACUCAGCCGCACCACCGCAUCCACUGGCGCCAACACUCCUGGCGCGACAACGCCCGUCUGAAGGGACUGAACGGCUAGGCCCCCUGCUGCCUUGAGGCCCUGCUGCUCAAGCCGCCGCAGCGCUGCAACGACCUGCUUUUGAGUAUCUGAUGUGGGCUUGGCGUCUUCCCUCUCAGUAGUCACCGCCGCUGCCAUCGCCGCCUGCAGUCCGCUGCCGCUGCCCAGGGCCGCCGCCACCUCGCCGCCUAGCUCCUGCUGCGCCUGCCACAGCUGUUUGAGAUGCUCAGUUGUAAGACCCUCCCAACGGCUUACUGCUUCACGGGCCAGCUGAAUGGAUAGCUGCUUCAUGUCGGGAGAAUACGUGCCUCCGAACACAGCCAUGGCCCACAGGCUGUUGCAUACGUGCUGGUGCAGGACUGUGUCAGAGUCAUGCUGCAGCAGCUCGCCCAGCCGACCGCACACCGCCGCCUCCAAGCCAGCGUGCCGCAGCUGCAGCACCGCCAGCGCGUACAGCGUAUUGGCACAGUUCUGACCACCGGCACUACUGGCGCGCAUGGCUGCUACUGCUGCGCCCGAGUCAAGCAGCUCCGCCGGCGGCUGGUGGCGCAUCAACGCAAGCGCGUACAGCAGAUUGGACCAGGCCUGAGAUGUUGCGCGGGCCAUGGCGCCCGACUGCGUUGCUGCGUCCACCGCUGCUGAAACCCACUGCCGCUGCUCGGCCGGCGCCUCCGGGCCCGCCCCAAAUCCCAUCUUGGCUAGGGCCCACGCUGAGUUGCUGAGGUCCUGAGCGAUGUACCCGUCAAACCCCCGCCGCAUGUCCUCUUCGGCCACUGCCACCACCAGCUCUGCCUGCUCGCUGCAUAGCUGCAGCCCCUCCAGCGCCAGCAGGAUGUUGGAUAGCUGUUGCGGGAUAAAUGCUGCAGCGAGCUCCGGUUUCCGGAGCUGCUGCAGUGCCUCCCCGCACAGCGCCUCAACUGCUGACCGGUACUCUGGUCCUGUGCACCCCAGAGCUUUGAGAGCCCAUAGGCUGUUUGAAACAUCUUGCGGCUUGAAGCCGUGGCCCGCCACCGUUCUCAAGCGAGAAGCCACAGCUGCCGCCAAGGUCUGCAAGUGCGGAGAUGAGGUGGGGUCCCAGCCUGAGCCCCGCUGCUGCUGGUCUUGCUUGAGCUUGCCGAGCGCGUACAUGACAAUUGCGAGGUUCUGAGGUUCCGCCUUCCCAAGAACCUCAGGAUCCACUAGCCGCUCCAGCAGAGCUGCUGCAAGCUGAGCCUCCGUGCCGCCGCCGACCAAUCCAGCUUUGCCCAGCGCCCACAGCGGAAUGCUGCAGUUCUUUGCGUUGCGGAUGCGCGGCACGAGCGGCAGGUAGGCCGGCGCAAGCAUGCCGAUAAUGCUGCUGCGUGCUACAGCCGUUUGGCUUGCUCCAGCGCGCGACUCCAGCUGCGUUCAAAGCAGUUAUGAGGGACAUACAUGGGGUCAAGUGCUAUAUGCAUGUGUUUGUGCGUGUGCGUGAACAGGUGCGCAUGCAAGUCCUGUGUGGCCAUCUGCGUCGUGAGAACCGGAAGUCCGGGCCGAGAACGACAACAAUGGACUCGCCCUCCAUUCUGCACUUCAUUUCUGUGCCCAUUCCCACCUGCACGUAUUAGUCCUCCCUCUCACCUUGCCGCACAGGUUGAACGCCGCACACAUGGUAAUGAAGUCUUUUCGGCCCUCCCACACUGAUAGCCGCUGGCUGAUGAUUGCUUGCAGCUCCUCCAGAGUCCGACACACGGUCAUGUCAUCCGCGGGGUCACGCCCGCUGCCCCUGCUUCUGCCGCUGGCGCGGCUGCCAUCGCCUGCCCUGCCUCCGCCGCUUCCCCUACCCGCCGCCGCCUGCACUAUUGGCCGCCCGAGGCGGGAGCUACUGCUGCCGCAGAGCACUACCGCCGUCGAGACGCGCAGUGGGGAUGAGCUGCUACUGUUGAGUGCUGGGACAGAAGUAGCGGCGGCAGCGCGCGGUGAGCUGGGGCCGGUGUCGGCAGCGGUCCGAUGCAUGCCAUAAACGAACAGUCUUCUAAACGCGCACGCCGGUGGCGGUGCCUGGAGACGGGCUGAUAACGAUUGGCUACAGCCAUGUACGCUGUGCCUGUGCGCACCAGCGGGAGAGCCCGCGACGACGCGCAGGGCGAGCAUCUCGGGCCUCCUCACGGCGGCGACCUGAGCUAUAGCGACUCUAUCCGUCUACGUGUCUGAGCACUGCAAAUGCAUUAGGCUUGCAUUUGUGGGAGAAUAACGCAAGGAACGAAAGGUCAGGUGCGUGUAGGUCGCUGGGCCAAAGCCGCCUGAGUAGCUGUGGCUUGGUAUGGAUGAUAAAGCAACUGAAUCAAUUUGCCACCGGUGUUGAGGCGAGGGCGACCUGACCGCGAAAUACACGGCCCGAGGGCACGCCCCGUAUCAACACCCCUCGCGACCUCCAAACACGUGCACUGAACCGCGAAGCCCUCCCCCAAGCCUAUCGCGGCUGCUAUUCCCAUGUCCUCCUCCCCAACCAUUCUGCAUACAGGCUCUGGCGUGAGUCCCUGCCCGCGUCAUUUGACACCCGUCGACCACGACUGAGGUGCAACGCAUGUCGCUUACAAAUCCAACAUCCCGCCCGACACGAGAGGGGCAGAAACGGCGGGGCAGACGGCCAGCCUCUUGAACAUGAGCAUAGCAGUGCAAUAUCGCACAUUGGGUCCCCGCCUGCUUCACCUGGCCACCUUUGCUGAUUUGUCUGACAUCCCUGUCUACACACUUUUAUCCGCCCACGCUUGAGACGUCCUCCUCAGCGCGCAGGCUUCACGGUACCAACCGUGCGGUAUCAUCGCUACAUGAUGAGUGCACUGCCCCAACCAUUGAAGCAUCACAAGGUGCUUGCCUGCCGCCGCCGCCGCUGAUACGUACACGAUUGCUGCCACACAACCAACACAUCACACCCAACAAUCACAACAACAAAACAACUGAGACCCGCCGCCGUGCAACGCACACUGUACACGCCCCAGGGCCGAGAACACAACGCAACACAAGCACCUGACAUGCCUCAUCCAGGCAUGCGUCACUCAAUCGCCCACCGAGCCGACCUCGCACACGCCGUUCGUGAGCCCCUGCGGCUGACAUGCCCGGCCCUGCCCCCUUGGCACCGCAGCCCUGCCGCCUUGGCACCGCCGCCCAUUGCCCCACCCCCAUGCUGCGUGCCAUGUAAGAAUAAAGCCAGGUCCCCAUCAAGCCGCAGCAUAUAUCCCCGCCAAGCCACCAGACUCCUCUUGCCGCACGCUACCAACCACCACCAGCACAGGACCGGCACCUGCCUGUCCCCCUGUUUAGUUUGGGCUGAUAUUUACAACCCCCCACCCUCCCCUCCCCACCUUCCCCAUUGCCAACCUCGCCCACCGCGCCGACAUGCACGCCGGCACCUCGCUCGUGCCUCUCGAGGCCUCCCAUCUUCCGUAGCUAGAGAUCCCUGUCCACGAGUAUCCACUUGGGCUCCAGCCCACUCCUGAUGCACACGCCGGCAUUACCCAGGUCUGCAUGGUUUGCAUGCCUGCCUGUCUACCGUGCACGCACACCUGCCUAGCUACGCAGACCUACUACCGUCCUUUUUGACCCGCCUCCGCCGCCACCGCCGCCGUCUCCUCCCUCUGGCCGCCGUGCCGGCCGCGCCAGCAGCUGCUGUUGUGGGUUGCCGCCAGAGCCGCCGCCGCCCUUGUUGCUGUUGGUGGUGGUGGUUGCGGGCUGGUGUGGCGCGGCCGUAGUGACAGCCGCAGCGCCGCCCACGGCACCCGCUGUCACUGUUUCCACCGCCACCGCCGGCUGCUGCAGCCGGCGCAGCAGGUAGGCCUCCUGCUCGGAAGGAGUCAGGAAGUCCCAUUCCCAGUACGGCACUAGUAGGACGCCGCCCUCCUUAAACGCCCGCCGCAGCUGCCGAAUGCGAAUGGCCGUACCCCCUUCCACAGCAGCGCUGGGGUCUUGCUGCUGCGUUUGUGUCAAGAGGUAACGUUUCGGUCCGAGGAACUCCACCGCCGCCUGCUGCCCGUCACUCAGCCGCACCACCGCAUCCACUGGCGCCAACACUCCUGGCGCGACAACGCCCGUCUGAAGGGACUGAACGGCUAGGCCCCCUGCUGCCUUGAGGCCCUGCUGCUCAAGCCGCCGCAGCGCUGCAACGACCUGCUUUUGAGUAUCUGAUGUGGGCUUGGCGUCUUCCCUCUCAGUAGUCACCGCCGCUGCCAUCGCCGCCUGCAGUCCGCUGCCGCUGCCCAGGGCCGCCGCCACCUCGCCGCCUAGCUCCUGCUGCGCCUGCCACAGCUGUUUGAGAUGCUCAGUUGUAAGACCCUCCCAACGGCUUACUGCUUCACGGGCCAGCUGAAUGGAUAGCUGCUUCAUGUCGGGAGAAUACGUGCCUCCGAACACAGCCAUGGCCCACAGGCUGUUGCAUACGUGCUGGUGCAGGACUGUGUCAGAGUCAUGCUGCAGCAGCUCGCCCAGCCGACCGCACACCGCCGCCUCCAAGCCAGCGUGCCGCAGCUGCAGCACCGCCAGCGCGUACAGCGUAUUGGCACAGUUCUGACCACCGGCACUACUGGCGCGCAUGGCUGCUACUGCUGCGCCCGAGUCAAGCAGCUCCGCCGGCGGCUGGUGGCGCAUCAACGCAAGCGCGUACAGCAGAUUGGACCAGGCCUGAGAUGUUGCGCGGGCCAUGGCGCCCGACUGCGUUGCUGCGUCCACCGCUGCUGAAACCCACUGCCGCUGCUCGGCCGGCGCCUCCGGGCCCGCCCCAAAUCCCAUCUUGGCUAGGGCCCACGCUGAGUUGCUGAGGUCCUGAGCGAUGUACCCGUCAAACCCCCGCCGCACGUCCUCUGCGGCCACUGCCACCACCAGCUCUGCCUGCUCGCUGCAUAGCUGCAGCCCCUCCAGCGCCAGCAGGAUGUUGGAUAGCUGUUGCGGGAUAAAUGCUGCAGCGAGCUCCGGUUUCCGGAGCCGCUGCAGUGCCUCCCCGCACAGCGCCUCAACUGCUGACCGGUACUCUGGUCCUGUGCACCCCAGAGCUUUGAGAGCCCAUAGGCUGUUUGAAACAUCUUGCGGCUUGAAGCCGUGGCCCGCCACCGUUCUCAAGCGAGAAGCCACAGCUGCCGCCAAGGUCUGCAAGUGUGGCGAUGAGGUGGGGUCCCAGCCUGAGCCCCGCUGCUGCUGGUCUUGCUUGAGCUUGCCGAGCGCGUACAUGACAAUUGCGAGGUUCUGAGGUUCCGCCUUCCCAAGAACCUCAGGAUCCACUAGCCGCUCCAGCAGAGCUGCUGCAAGCUGAGCCUCCGUGCCGCCGCCGACCAAUCCAGCUUUGCCCAGCGCCCACAGCGGAAUGCUGCAGUUCUUUGCGUUGCGGAUGCGCGGCACGAGCGGCAGGUAGGCCGGCGCAAGCAUGCCGAUAAUGCUGCUGCGUGCUACAGCCGUUUGGCUUGCUCCAGCGCGCGACUCCAGCUGCGUUCAAAGCAGUUAUGAGGGACAUACAUGGGGUCAAGUGCUAUAUGCAUGUGUUUGUGCGUGUGCGUGAACAGGUGCGCAUGCAAGUCCUGUGUGGCCAUCUGCGUCGUGAGAACCGGAAGUCCGGGCCGAGAACGACAACAAUGGACUCGCCCUCCAUUCUGCACUUCAUUUCUGUGCCCAUUCCCACCUGCACGUAUUAGUCCUCCCUCUCACCUUGCCGCACAGGUUGAACGCCGCACACAUGGUAAUGAAGUCUUUUCGGCCCUCCCACACUGAUAGCCGCUGGCUGAUGAUUGCUUGCAGCUCCUCCAGAGUCCGACACACGGUCAUGUCAUCCGCGGGGUCACGCCCGCUGCCCCUGCUUCUGCCGCUGGCGCGGCUGCCAUCGCCUGCCCUGCCUCCGCCGCUUCCCCUACCCNNNNNNNNNNNNNNNNNNNNNNNNNNNNNNNNNNNNNNNNNNNNNNNNNNNNNNNNNNNNNNNNNNNNNNNNNNNNNNNNNNNNNNNNNNNNNNNNNNNNGAGAAUAACGCAAGGAACGAAAGGUCAGGUGCGUGUAGGUCGCUGGGCCAAAGCCGCCUGAGUAGCUGUGGCUUGGUAUGGAUGAUAAAGCAACUGAAUCAAUUUGCCACCGGUGUUGAGGCGAGGGCGACCUGACCGCGAAAUACACGGCCCGAGGGCACGCCCCGUAUCAACACCCCUCGCGACCUCCAAACACGUGCACUGAACCGCGAAGCCCUCCCCCAAGCCUAUCGCGGCUGCUAUUCCCAUGUCCUCCUCCCCAACCAUUCUGCAUACAGGCUCUGGCGUGAGUCCCUGCCCGCGUCAUUUGACACCCGUCGACCACGACUGAGGUGCAACGCAUGUCGCUUACAAAUCCAACAUCCCGCCCGACACGAGAGGGGCAGAAACGGCGGGGCAGACGGCCAGCCUCUUGAACAUGAGCAUAGCAGUGCAAUAUCGCACAUUGGGUCCCCGCCUGCUUCACCUGGCCACCUUUGCUGAUUUGUCUGACAUCCCUGUCUACACACUUUUAUCCGCCCACGCUUGAGACGUCCUCCUCAGCGCGCAGGCUUCACGGUACCAACCGUGCGGUAUCAUCGCUACAUGAUGAGUGCACUGCCCCAACCAUUGAAGCAUCACAAGGUGCUUGCCUGCCGCCGCCGCCGCUGAUACGUACACGAUUGCUGCCACACAACCAACACAUCACACCCAACAAUCACAACAACAAAACAACUGAGACCCGCCGCCGUGCAACGCACACUGUACACGCCCCAGGGCCGAGAACACAACGCAACACAAGCACCUGACAUGCCUCAUCCAGGCAUGCGUCACUCAAUCGCCCACCGAGCCGACCUCGCACACGCCGUUCGUGAGCCCCUGCGGCUGACAUGCCCGGCCCUGCCCCCUUGGCACCGCAGCCCUGCCGCCUUGGCACCGCCGCCCAUUGCCCCACCCCCAUGCUGCGUGCCAUGUAAGAAUAAAGCCAGGUCCCCAUCAAGCCGCAGCAUAUAUCCCCGCCAAGCCACCAGACUCCUCUUGCCGCACGCUACCAACCACCACCAGCACAGGACCGGCACCUGCCUGUCCCCCUGUUUAGUUUGGGCUGAUAUUUACAACCCCCCACCCUCCCCUCCCCACCUUCCCCAUUGCCAACCUCGCCCACCGCGCCGACAUGCACGCCGGCACCUCGCUCGUGCCUCUCGAGGCCUCCCAUCUUCCGUAGCUAGAGAUCCCUGUCCACGAGUAUCCACUUGGGCUCCAGCCCACUCCUGAUGCACACGCCGGCAUUACCCAGGUCUGCAUGGUUUGCAUGCCUGCCUGUCUACCGUGCACGCACACCUGCCUAGCUACGCAGACCUACUACCGUCCUUUUUGACCCGCCUCCGCCGCCACCGCCGCCGUCUCCUCCCUCUGGCCGCCGUGCCGGCCGCGCCAGCAGCUGCUGUUGUGGGUUGCCGCCAGAGCCGCCGCCGCCCUUGUUGCUGUUGGUGGUGGUGGUUGCGGGCUGGUGUGGCGCGGCCGUAGUGACAGCCGCAGCGCCGCCCACGGCACCCGCUGUCACUGUUUCCACCGCCACCGCCGGCUGCUGCAGCCGGCGCAGCAGGUAGGCCUCCUGCUCGGAAGGAGUCAGGAAGUCCCAUUCCCAGUACGGCACUAGUAGGACGCCGCCCUCCUUAAACGCCCGCCGCAGCUGCCGAAUGCGAAUGGCCGUACCCCCUUCCACAGCAGCGCUGGGGUCUUGCUGCUGCGUUUGUGUCAAGAGGUAACGUUUCGGUCCGAGGAACUCCACCGCCGCCUGCUGCCCGUCACUCAGCCGCACCACCGCAUCCACUGGCGCCAACACUCCUGGCGCGACAACGCCCGUCUGAAGGGACUGAACGGCUAGGCCCCCUGCUGCCUUGAGGCCCUGCUGCUCAAGCCGCCGCAGCGCUGCAACGACCUGCUUUUGAGUAUCUGAUGUGGGCUUGGCGUCUUCCCUCUCAGUAGUCACCGCCGCUGCCAUCGCCGCCUGCAGUCCGCUGCCGCUGCCCAGGGCCGCCGCCACCUCGCCGCCUAGCUCCUGCUGCGCCUGCCACAGCUGUUUGAGAUGCUCAGUUGUAAGACCCUCCCAACGGCUUACUGCUUCACGGGCCAGCUGAAUGGAUAGCUGCUUCAUGUCGGGAGAAUACGUGCCUCCGAACACAGCCAUGGCCCACAGGCUGUUGCAUACGUGCUGGUGCAGGACUGUGUCAGAGUCAUGCUGCAGCAGCUCGCCCAGCCGACCGCACACCGCCGCCUCCAAGCCAGCGUGCCGCAGCUGCAGCACCGCCAGCGCGUACAGCGUAUUGGCACAGUUCUGACCACCGGCACUACUGGCGCGCAUGGCUGCUACUGCUGCGCCCGAGUCAAGCAGCUCCGCCGGCGGCUGGUGGCGCAUCAACGCAAGCGCGUACAGCAGAUUGGACCAGGCCUGAGAUGUUGCGCGGGCCAUGGCGCCCGACUGCGUUGCUGCGUCCACCGCUGCUGAAACCCACUGCCGCUGCUCUGCCGGCGCCUCCGGGCCCGCCCCAAAUCCCAUCUUGGCUAGGGCCCACGCUGAGUUGCUGAGGUCCUGAGCGAUGUACCCGUCAAACCCCCGCCGCAUGUCCUCUUCGGCCACUGCCACCACCAGCUCUGCCUGCUCGCUGCAUAGCUGCAGCCCCUCCAGCGCCAGCAGGAUGUUGGAUAGCUGUUGCGGGAUAAAUGCUGCAGCGAGCUCCGGUUUCCGGAGCUGCUGCAGUGCCUCCCCGCACAGCGCCUCAACUGCUGACCGGUACUCUGGUCCUGUGCACCCCAGAGCUUUGAGAGCCCAUAGGCUGUUUGAAACAUCUUGCGGCUUGAAGCCGUGGCCCGCCACCGUUCUCAAGCGAGAAGCCACAGCUGCCGCCAAGGUCUGCAAGUGCGGAGAUGAGGUGGGGUCCCAGCCUGAGCCCCGCUGCUGCUGGUCUUGCUUGAGCUUGCCGAGCGCGUACAUGACAAUUGCGAGGUUCUGAGGUUCCGCCUUCCCAAGAACCUCAGGAUCCACUAGCCGCUCCAGCAGAGCUGCUGCAAGCUGAGCCUCCGUGCCGCCGCCGACCAAUCCAGCUUUGCCCAGCGCCCACAGCGGAAUGCUGCAGUUCUUUGCGUUGCGGAUGCGCGGCACGAGCGGCAGGUAGGCCGGCGCAAGCAUGCCGAUAAUGCUGCUGCGUGCUACAGCCGUUUGGCUUGCUCCAGCGCGCGACUCCAGCUGCGUUCAAAGCAGUUAUGAGGGACAUACAUGGGGUCAAGUGCUAUAUGCAUGUGUUUGUGCGUGUGCGUGAACAGGUGCGCAUGCAAGUCCUGUGUGGCCAUCUGCGUCGUGAGAACCGGAAGUCCGGGCCGAGAACGACAACAAUGGACUCGCCCUCCAUUCUGCACUUCAUUUCUGUGCCCAUUCCCACCUGCACGUAUUAGUCCUCCCUCUCACCUUGCCGCACAGGUUGAACGCCGCACACAUGGUAAUGAAGUCUUUUCGGCCCUCCCACACUGAUAGCCGCUGGCUGAUGAUUGCUUGCAGCUCCUCCAGAGUCCGACACACGGUCAUGUCAUCCGCGGGGUCACGCCCGCUGCCCCUGCUUCUGCCGCUGGCGCGGCUGCCAUCGCCUGCCCUGCCUCCGCCGCUUCCCCUACCCGCCGCCGCCUGCACUAUUGGCCGCCCGAGGCGGGAGCUACUGCUGCCGCAGAGCACUACCGCCGUCGAGACGCGCAGUGGGGAUGAGCUGCUACUGUUGAGUGCUGGGACAGAAGUAGCGGCGGCAGCGCGCGGUGAGCUGGGGCCGGUGUCGGCAGCGGUCCGAUGCAUGCCAUAAACGAACAGUCUUCUAAACGCGCACGCCGGUGGCGGUGCCUGGAGACGGGCUGAUAACGAUUGGCUACAGCCAUGUACGCUGUGCCUGUGCGCACCAGCGGGAGAGCCCGCGACGACGCGCAGGGCGAGCAUCUCGGGCCUCCUCACGGCGGCGACCUGAGCUAUAGCGACUCUAUCCGUCUACGUGUCUGAGCACUGCAAAUGCAUUAGGCUUGCAUUUGUGGGAGAAUAACGCAAGGAACGAAAGGUCAGGUGCGUGUAGGUCGCUGGGCCAAAGCCGCCUGAGUAGCUGUGGCUUGGUAUGGAUGAUAAAGCAACUGAAUCAAUUUGCCACCGGUGUUGAGGCGAGGGCGACCUGACCGCGAAAUACACGGCCCGAGGGCACGCCCCGUAUCAACACCCCUCGCGACCUCCAAACACGUGCACUGAACCGCGAAGCCCUCCCCCAAGCCUAUCGCGGCUGCUAUUCCCAUGUCCUCCUCCCCAACCAUUCUGCAUACAGGCUCUGGCGUGAGUCCCUGCCCGCGUCAUUUGACACCCGUCGACCACGACUGAGGUGCAACGCAUGUCGCUUACAAAUCCAACAUCCCGCCCGACACGAGAGGGGCAGAAACGGCGGGGCAGACGGCCAGCCUCUUGAACAUGAGCAUAGCAGUGCAAUAUCGCACAUUGGGUCCCCGCCUGCUUCACCUGGCCACCUUUGCUGAUUUGUCUGACAUCCCUGUCUACACACUUUUAUCCGCCCACGCUUGAGACGUCCUCCUCAGCGCGCAGGCUUCACGGUACCAACCGUGCGGUAUCAUCGCUACAUGAUGAGUGCACUGCCCCAACCAUUGAAGCAUCACAAGGUGCUUGCCUGCCGCCGCCGCCGCUGAUACGUACACGAUUGCUGCCACACAACCAACACAUCACACCCAACAAUCACAACAACAAAACAACUGAGACCCGCCGCCGCGCAACGCACACUGCUGUACACGCCCCAGGGCCGAGAACACAACGCAACACAAGCACCUGACAUGCCUCAUCCAGGCAUGCGUCACUCAAUCGCCCACCGAGCCGACCUCGCACACGCCGUUCGUGAGCCCCUGCGGCUGACAUGCCCGGCCCUGCCCCCUUGGCACCGCAGCCCUGCCGCCUUGGCACCGCCGCCCAUUGCCCCACCCCCAUGCUGCGUGCCAUGUAAGAAUAAAGCCAGGUCCCCAUCAAGCCGCAGCAUAUAUCCCCGCCAAGCCACCACACUCCUCUUGCCGCACGCUACCAACCACCACCAGCACAGGACCGGCACCUGCCUGUCCCCCUGUUUAGUUUGGGCUGAUAUUUACAACCCCCCACCCUCCCCUCCCCACCUUCCCCAUUGCCAACCUCGCCCACCGCGCCGACAUACACGCCGGCACCUCGCUCGUGCCUCUCGAGGCCUCCCAUCUUCCGUAGCUAGAGAUCCCCAUCCACUAGCAUCCACUUGGGCUCCAGCCCACUCCUGAUGCACACGCCAGCAUUAUCCAGGUCUGCAUGGUUUGCAUGUCUGCCUACCGUGCACGCACACCUGCCUAGCUACGCCGACCUACUACCGUCCUCCUCGACCCGACCCGCCGCCGCCGCCGCCUCCCUCUGGCCGCCGUGCCGGCCGCACCAGCAGCUGCUGUUGUGGGUUGCCGCCAGAGCCGCCGCCGCCCUUGCUGGUAGUGGUGGUGGUUGCGGGCUGCUGCGGCGCGGCCGUAAUGACAGCCGCAGCGCCGCCCACGGCACCCACUGCCACUGUUUCCACCGCCACCGCCGGCUGCUGCAGCCGGCGCAGCAGGUAGGCCUCCUGCUCCUCCGGGCUCUUCAGGCCCGCCCACUCCCAGUACGGCAGCACAAGAACGCCGCCGCCCUCCCCGAACGCCCGCCGCAGCUGCCGAAUGCGCAUGGCCGUACCACCGUCAACAGCGGUGGGGUCGCGCUUUAGAUUGGACAGAAAGCGUGCCGGUCCGAGGAGCUCCACCGCCGCCUGCUGCCCGUCACUCAGCCGCACCACCGCAUCCACUGGCGCCAACGCGCCUUGCGCGACCACGCCCGUUUGUACGGACACGACGGCAAGGCCUCCUGCUGCCUCACGCCCCUGGUGCUGCUCAAGCCGCCGCAGCGCUGCGACGACCUGCUUUUGGAUGUCAGAUGUGGGCUUGGCGUUUUCCCUCUCAGCAGUCACCGCCGCUGCCAUCGCCGCCUGCAGGCCGGGGCUGCUCCCCAGGGCCGCCGCAACCUCGCCGCCUAGCUCUUGCUGCGCCUGCCACAGCUGAUUGAGAUUCUCAGUUGUAAAACCCUCCCAACGGCUUACUGCUUCACGGGCUAGCUGAAUGGAUAGCUGCUGCAUGUCGGGAGAAUACGUGCCUCCAAUCACCGCCAUGGCCCACAGGCUGUUUGAUAUGUUUUGGUUGUUUACCGCCUGCCUGUCGCGCUGCAGCAGCUCGCCCAGCCGGCCGCACACCGCCGCCUCCAAGCCAGCGUGCCGCAGCUGCAGCACCGCCAGCGCCCAGAGCGUGUUUGCACAGUUCUGACCACCGGCACUACUGGCGCGCAUGGCUGCUGCUGCUGCACCCGCAUCCAGCAGCUCCGGCGGCGGCUGGUGGCGCAUCAACGCAAGCGCGUACAGCAGGUUGGCCCAGGCCUGAGGCGUCGCACGGGCCAUGACGCCCGGCCGCAUUGCUGCGACCACCGCUGCCGAAGCCCACUGCCGCUGCUCUGCCGGCGCCUCCGGGCCCACCCCAAAUCCGAUCUUGGCCAGGGCCCACGCUGAGUUGCUGAGGUCCUGAGCCACGUACCCGGCAAAUCCCCGACGCACGUCCUCUGCGGCCACUGCCACCACCAGCUCUGCCUGCUCGCCGCCCAGCUGCAGCCCCUCCAGCGCCAGCAGGAUGUUGGACAGAUGCUGCGGCUUGAACGCUUCAGCAUCCUUCGGUGCUCGGAGCUGCCGCAGCGCCUCCCCGCACAGCGCCUCAACUGCUGAUCGGUACUCUGGUCCCAUGCAACCCAAAGCCGCAAACGCCCAGAGGGUAUUGGACAGAUGUUGCGUCUCCAUGCUGAGACUGAGCGCCGCUGCCGCCUCUGCCAGCGGCAGCAGGAGUUCCGGUUCCGGGUAACCCAGCUUGGCGCACGCCCAGAGAAUGUUGGACACGUCCUGUGCUGUGAAGCCGUGACCAACCGCCACUCCCAACCGGGAGGCCACAGCUGCCGCCAAGGUCUGCAAGUGCGGAGAUGAGGUGGGGUCCCAGCCUGAGCCCCGCUGCUCCUGGUCUUGCUUGAUCUUGCCGAGUGCGUACAUGACGUUUGUAAGACUUUGAGGUUUUGCAGUUCCAAGAACCUCUGAAUCCAACAGCCGCUCCAGCAGCGCUGCUAUGAGCUGAGCCUCCAUGGCCGAGCCGCCGCUGAUCCCUGCUUUCCCCAGCGCCCACAGCACGAUGCUGCAAUCAACCGCCUUGCGGAUGCGCGGCACGAGCGGCAGGUAGGCCGGCGCAAGCAUGCCGAUAAUGCUGCUGCGUGCUACAGCCGUUUGGCUUGCUCCAGCGCGCGACUCCAGCUGCGUUCAAAACAGUUAUGAGGGACAUACAUGGGGUCAAGUGCUAUAUGCAUGUGUUUGUGCGUGUGCGUGAACAGGUGCGCAUGCAAGUCCUGUGUGGCCAUCUGCGUCGUGAGAACCGGAAGUCCGGGCCGAGAAUGACAACAAUUGGACUCGCCCUCAAUUCUGCACUUUAUUUCUCUGCCCAUUCCCACCUGCACGUUUUAGUCCUCCCUCUCACCUUGCCGCACAGGUUGAACGCCGCACACAUGGUAAUGAAGUCUUUUCGGCCCUCCCACACUGAUAGCCGCUGGCUGAUGAUAGCUUGCAGGUCCUCCAGAGUCCGACACACGGUCAUGUCAUCCGCGGGGUCACGCCCGCUGCCCCUGCUUCUGCCGCUGGCGCGGCUGCCAUCGCCUGCCCUGCCUCCGCCGCUUCCCCUACCCGCCGCCGCCUGCACUAUUGGCCGCCCGAGGCGGGAGCUACUGCUGCCGCAGAGCACUACCGCCGUCGAGACGCGCAGUGGGGAUGAGCUGCUACUGUUGAGUGCUGGGACAGAAGUAGCGGCGGCAGCGCGCGGUGAGCUGGGGCCGGUGUCGGCAGCGGUCCGAUGCAUGCCAUAAACGAACAGUCUUCUAAACGCGCACGCCGGUGGCGGUGCCUGGAGACGGGCUGAUAACGAAUGGCUACAGCCAUGUACGCUGUGCCUGUGCGCACCAGCGGGAGAGCCCGCGACGACGCGCAGGGCGAGCAUCUCGGGCCUCCUCACGGCGGCGACCUGAGCUAUAGCGACUCUAUCCGUCUACGUGUCUGAGCACUGCAAAUGCAUUAGGCUUGCAUUUGUGGGAGAAUAACGCAAGGAACGAAAGGUCAGGUGCGUGUAGGUCGCUGGGCCAAAGCCGCCUGAGUAGCUGUGGCUUGGUAUGGAUGAUAAAGCAACUGAAUCAAUUUGCCACCGGUGUUGAGGCGAGGGCGACCUGACCGCGAAAUACACGGCCCGAGGGCACGCCCCGUAUCAACACCCCUCGCGACCUCCAAACACGUGCACUGAACCGCGAAGCCCUCCCCCAAGCCUAUCGCGGCUGCUAUUCCCAUGUCCUCCUCCCCAACCAUUCUGCAUACAGGCUCUGGCGUGAGUCCCUGCCCGCGUCAUUUGACACCCGUCGACCACGACUGAGGUGCAACGCAUGUCGCUUACAAUUCCAACAUCCCGCCCGACACGAGAGGGGCAGAAACGGCGGGGCAGACGGCCAGCCUCUUGAACAUGAGCAUAGCAGUGCCAUAGCGCACAUUGGGUCCCCGCCUGCUUCACCUGGCCACCUUUGCUGAUUUGUCUGACAUCCCUGUCUACACACUUUUAUCCGCCCACGCUUGAGACGUCCUCCUCAGCGCGCAGGCUUCACGGUACCAACCGUGCGGUAUCAUCGCUACAUGAUGAGUGCACUGCCCCAACCAUUGAAGCAUCACAAGGUGCUUGCCUGCCGCCGCCGCCGCUGAUACGUACACGAUUGCUGCCACACAACCAACACAUCACACCCAACAAUCACAACAACAAAACAACUGAGACCCGCCGCCGCGCAACGCACACUGCUGUACACGCCCCAGGGCCGAGAACACAAC
RNAcentral lists this long non-coding RNA (16275 nucleotides) under Chlamydomonas reinhardtii. RNAcentral describes it as "long non-coding RNA (CREI_LNC001184)". Lineage: Eukaryota; Viridiplantae; Chlorophyta; Chlorophyceae; Chlamydomonadales; Chlamydomonadaceae. The record is from RNAcentral.